UUACAACUAAGAUCAGCACAAACAGACAUUGUCAAUGAAAAGUCCCAGCCAGGCAGAGAACAAAGAGCACACUCAUUCAUUUAAUGUACAUUCAUUGGAUAUUGAGAGACAAUGCUGGGCACUUCUGGUAGGUUGGUGAACAAACCACAUGGUUCUUGCCCUUCUAGACCAAUAUUCAAUGGGAAUACAAAGGGAAAGAAGAAAUGAAAUAAACAAUCGUGGGCAUUUGCAGAGGAUAAGCAAGAUUCAGUGUCAGAGAACUGUUGAGAGGGGGAACUCUUGAGAGAUUCCACACAAUGUUCAUUUGUCCAAUGUGAAGGGCAAUUUAUCCAUUCCACACAUAUUUAUGGAUCAUUUGCUGUGUGCCAGGCAUGGUGCUAUCUGUUAGGUUAAGUGAGUUCUCAGUCAAAACCAUGGACAAAGGCCUCCUUUUGGACAUUUUCCCAGACCUGCUUGGCUCUUUGUUAAAAUGGUACUUGUCACAAACUUGUUGGUGCAACUCCUGUUAACAAAAGCAUUCCACAGCUCACGUUCUUUGUGUUUUAUUUCCCACUGUGAAAAGGGCAAUAUUAAGCGAGCAAAUGAAAGGUCUUUGGCUUAGAGUCAGGGGACUGUUGCUUUCUUCCAGCUCUGCCACAUAUUAGCUCUGUGCUCCAGGACCGUGCUGUCUUUCUGGUUCUCAGUUUACCUGCUGCUAAGGUGGGCAUGAAAUGACAUCUUCCAUCUCAUCCAGUUCCCAGGCACAUGGAGAAGGGUUUCCUGUUGUCACUCUUGACAUAAAGACAGUGCUUGAGGUAUCUUUUCUGGCAACUUCUCUGAUCUACUUCUAUGUGUAUUCACUUAUUUCAUUCACCAAGAGAGUCAAAUGAGUGAAAUGGUUACAAAUGGUGGCUCUGAAAUAAGACAGACUUGGGUUUCAACACUACUUCUAACACUUAUUGGCUGUGUGGCCUUCAUAUUAGGAUAGAAAAUUCACAUGUUGAAGUUCUAAUCCCCAGUACUUAGAAUGUGACUUUAUUUGGAAUUAGGCUCUUUACGGUUGUGCACUAAUCUAAUAAAACUGGAGUCCUUAGGAAGGCGUGACAUUGGAGACAGGUAUACAUAAGAAGAACACCAUAAUAACAUGAACUCAGGGAUUGGGACGAUGCUUUUACAAGACAAGGAAUGCUGAAGAUUGUCCACAAAUCACCGGAAGCUGUGGGAGAGGCCCAGAACCUGUCCCUUAUUACCCUCACAUGGUGCCAACCCUCCUGACCUUGAUCUUGGACUUCUAGCCUCCAGGACUGUGAGAAAAUAAAUUUAUGUUGUUUAAGUCACCACUUAGUAUGUGGUUCUUUGUUACAGCAGUCCUAGCAAACCCAAUAUGGCUAGUUACCUAACUUUCUAGAAAUUCAAUUUUCUUAUUCCUCAAAUGCAAUGACUUUAGCAGUGAUUCUCAAAGUGUGGUCCCGGACAAGCAGCAUCAGCAUUAUCCAGAAACUUGUUAGAAAUGCAAAUUCAUAGAUUCCCACCCCAGAUUUCCUGACUCAGAAAUCCUUGGGAUGGGGCUCAUAAAUCUGUUUAAACCAGCUCUCCGGAUGAUUCUGAUGCAUGCUCAAGUGUGGAAACUUACGAUAUCGUAGAAAGGAUUCUAUCAGACAAUAUAGGCAAAGUUCCUAGCAUAGUGCCUGACAUACAGUAAAUACCUAAUAUAUGACAAACCACAAGACAUUUUCAAACACUUAUGUAACGCUUAAGGUGGUCCAGCAUAUGGAGGUGUAAAGAUCUAUAAAUUUUGAUUUCUCAGUAAACUGGCAGAACUCACAACUUUGGGGAAGGCAUAUUUGCAACAAUUAAUAAAAUGACCUUAGGUGUUAUAAUAUUGUUCCAAAUGUGUUUUGGGAAGACAGUAGAUAUAAUGGGGCAGUGGAAAAUCAGGACAGAAGGUAUCAAUAAAUAGAUAAAUGAGAGCUAGAUAUGUUUACAGCUGAUUGAUAAAGAUACAUAAUCAAGCACGAGAGGCAACAAAAUAU
Molecule: long non-coding RNA, 2012 nt
Filed under: Macaca mulatta (Rhesus monkey)
Lineage: Eukaryota; Metazoa; Chordata; Mammalia; Primates; Cercopithecidae
Description: lncRNA (ENSMMUG00000054899.1)
Source: RNAcentral